Molecule: ribosomal RNA, 850 nt
Filed under: uncultured Planctomycetota bacterium
Lineage: Bacteria; Pseudomonadati; Planctomycetota
Description: bacterial SSU rRNA
Rfam family: Bacterial small subunit ribosomal RNA
Source: RNAcentral
GCAGUCGAACGAAUCCCAAGAGUGUAGCAAUACAUUUGAGGGGGAAGUGGCGAAAGGGGCAGUAAUGUAUGGAUAACGUACCCUCAGGUCGUGAAUAGCCUUCCUAACGGUAGGGUAAUGCACGGCGUCAUCGCGAGGCGGCAUCGUUUUGCGAUUAAAGAAUUUCGCCUGGGGAGCGGUCCAUAUCGUAUCAGCUAGUUGGCGGGGUAACGGCCCACCAAGGCUAAGACGCGUAGCGGGUGUGAGAGCACGACCCGCGCCACUGGCACUGAGACACUGGCCAGACUCCUACGGGAGGCUGCAGUCGAGGAUCUUCGGCAAUGGGCGCAAGCCUGACCGAGCGACGCCGCGUGUGCGAUGAAGGCCUUCGGGUUGUAAAGCACUGUCGAGGGGGAGGAAGCCGCAAGGUUGACCUAUCCCUGGAGGAAGCACGGGCUAAGUUCGUGCCAGCAGCCGCGGUAAGACGAACCGUGCAAACGUUAUUCGGAAUCACUGGGCUUAAAGGGCGCGUAGGCGGGUUGGACAGUCUGCGGUGAAAUCCUCCAGCUUAACUGGAGAACUGCCGUGGAUACUGCCAGUCUCGAGGAGGGUAGGGGCAUCUGGAACAGCCGGUGGAGCGGUGAAAUGCGUUGAUAUCGGCUGGAACUCCGGUGGCGAAGGCGAGAUGCUGGACCCUUUCUGACGCUGAGGCGCGAAAGCCAGGGGAGCGAACGGGAUUAGAUACCCCGGUAGUCCUGGCCCUAAACGAUGAGAACUGGAUAGCGAUUCUGACAUAGAACCGCUGUCGGAGCAAAAGUGUUAAGUUCUCCCCCUGGGGAGUAUGGUCGCAAGGCUGAAACUCAAAGGAAUU